This 1412-nucleotide unclassified non-coding RNA is filed under the name Haliotis rubra (blacklip abalone). Its description in RNAcentral is "rWD domain-containing protein 4-like, transcript variant X7". Lineage: Eukaryota; Metazoa; Mollusca; Gastropoda; Lepetellida; Haliotidae. The record is from RNAcentral.
UACACUCUAUAUAUGAUGGCAAUGGGAAAUUUAAGCAGAUCAGCCCAACCUGCUUCCAGUAUAAGGUACAAGCUUCACUCUAUAUAUGAUGGCGAUGGGAAAUUUAAGCAGAUCAGCCCAACCUGCUUCCAGUAUAAGUAUGGUGAGGACGGUGAGCAUCAGUCGUUCCUGGUGGAGAUAUCCUGGGGAGACAGCUACCCAGAAGUGGCCCCCACAGUCAACCUUGACCUCUUCUACAAUAAACACAUACUUGAUGCUGUGAAGGAGAAAGUACGAAGUGGGAUCCUGGAGGAGGUGGAAAAUCUCUUGAGUUCCCCAAUGACGUUCUCACUGUUUGAGUGGGUGAAGGACAACCUAACUUCUCUUCUUGAAGAACAGCCCCAGUCUGCUCCAGUCAGCCAGGCUGAAUGCAAGACUGAUACAGUGAUAGAAGAGGAUAGUUCCCCCGAGAAGAAGAAAGAGAAGAAAGAACAGAUGACAAAAGCCCAGAAGAGGAGGUACUCCGACAAGUAUGGCUCAAACACGGACCGUCCUAGGGGCUGGGACUGGGUGGACGUAGUGAAGCAUCUCAGUCAAACUGGGAGUCAGCAACCGAAGGCUGAUUCAUGACCUUAAGGGGCUUAGUACAGGCCCUCCUGGGGCAGGGUGGGUAAACAGGCACCCAGUUGGAUAUGGGUUAACACAGGCACUCCUGGGGCAGGAUGGGUAAACAGGCACCCAGUUGGAUAUGGGUUAACACAGGCCCUCCUGGGGCAGGGUGGGUAAACAGGCACCCAGUUGGAUAUGGGUUAACACAGGCCCUCCUGGGGCAGGGUGGGUAAACAGUUACUCUGUUGGAUAUGGGUUAACACAGGCACUCCUGGGGCAGGGUGGGUAAACAGGCACCCAGUUGGAUAUGGGUUAACACAGGCACUCCUGGGGCAGGGUGGGUAAACAGGCACCCAGUUGGAUAUGGGUUAACACAGGCACUCCUGGGGCAGGGUGGGUAAACAGGCACCCAGUUGGAUAUGGGUUAACACUGACACUCCUGGGGCAGGGUGGGUAAACAGGCACCCAGUUGGAUAUGGUGCUUGGGUCAAGGUCAAGGUCCCCUACAGUUGACCUACAUUUGGGCAGUUUCAACGUCUUCUUUUGACUAACAUGCAUUCGCUGAGGAUCGAAAUAUUUCAAAAGUUGACAUACAUUCACAGUUUACAGUAUGAACACUUAGAAAUGUUGACAUUGUCAUCAUAAAUUUUGAUAAUCCAACAAGGGGACAGACAACAAGGGUUCAGACAACAAGGGGACAGACAACAAGGGGAUGUCAGGAUAUUAACUGUUUCGGCAACAUUAUCUGGUAUGAUCAAUUUAGAUUUGAGUGAAAGUAAAUCCGUCAUUACUGACAGGAAUUGUUGCAUAUGGUAACAGCAGGA